AAACUCUCGUUAAGGAACUCGGCAAGAUGACCCCGUAACUUCGGGAGAAGGGGUGCUUUUUAGGGUGAAUAGCCCAGAAAAGCCGCAGUGAAUAGGCCCAGGCGACUGUUUAGCAAAAACACAGGUCUCUGCGAAGCCGCAAGGCGAAGUAUAGGGGCUGACACCUGCCCGUUCUGGAAGGUUAAGGGGAGAGGUUAGCGCAAGCGAAGCUUUGAACCGAAGCCCCAGUAAACGGCGGCCGUAACAAUCACGGUCCUAAGGUAGCGAAAUUCCUUGUCGGGUAAGUUCCGACCCGCACGAAAGGUGUAACGAUCUGGGCACUGUCUCAACGAGAGACUCGGUGAAAUUAUAGUACCUGUGAAGAUGCAGGUUACCCGCGACAGGACGGAAAGACCCCGUGGAGCUUUACUGCAGCCUGAUAUUGAAUUUUGGUACAGCUUGUACAGGAUAGGUAGGAGCCUGAGAAGCCGGAGCGCUAGCUUCGGUGGAGGCGUUGGUGGGAUACUACCCUGGCUGUAUUGAAAUUCUAACCCGCGCCCCUUAUCGGGGUGGGAGACAGUGUCAGGUGGGCAGUUUGACUGGGGCGGUCGCCUCCUAAAGAGUAACGGAGGCGCCCAAAGGUUCCCUCAGAAUGGUUGGAAAUCAUUCGUAGAGUGUAAAGGCACAAGGGAGCUUGACUGCGAGACCUACAAGUCGAGCAGGGACGAAAGUCGGGCUUAGUGAUCCGGUGGUUCCGCAUGGAAGGGCCAUCGCUCAACGGAUAAAAGCUACCCCGGGGAUAACAGGCUUAUCUCCCCCAAGAGUCCACAUCGACGGGGAGGUUUGGCACCUCGAUGUCGGCUCAUCGCAUCCUGGGGCUGUAGUCGGUCCCAAGGGUUGGGCUGUUCGCCCAUUAAAGCGGUACGCGAGCUGGGUUCAGAACGUCGUGAGACAGUUCGGUCCCUAUCCGUCGCGGGCGCAGGAAAUUUGAGAGGAGCUGUCCUUAGUACGAGAGGACCGGGAUGGACGCACCGCUGGUGUACCAGUUGUCCUGCCAAAGGCAUAGCUGGGUAGCUACGUGCGGACGGGAUAAGUGCUGAAAGCAUCUAAGCAUGAAGCCCCCCUCAAGAUGAGAUUUCCCAUGGCGCAAGCUAGUAAGAUCCCUGAAAGAUGAUCAGGUUGAUAGGUCAGAGGUGGAAGCGUGGCGACAUGUGGAGCUGACUGAUACUAAUAGAUCGAGGACUUAACC
RNAcentral lists this ribosomal RNA (1228 nucleotides) under metagenome. RNAcentral describes it as "bacterial LSU rRNA". It matches the Rfam family "Bacterial large subunit ribosomal RNA", at positions 1696 to 2925 of the family's 2925-position model. The record is from RNAcentral.